This 6376-nucleotide long non-coding RNA is filed under the name Homo sapiens (human). RNAcentral's name for it is "HSALNT0286390". Lineage: Eukaryota; Metazoa; Chordata; Mammalia; Primates; Hominidae. The record is from RNAcentral.
GCCGAAAGUGGCUUUUUCUGAGCCAGCUCCUGAGGAGUCAGAAACACCCACACUUGGGAGAUAGGACACCUUGAUUCUGGUUGAAUCCUUGCUGCAGAGCCAGAAAAAUUACAGAUAAAAUCCCUGGAGAUUAUAUAUGAAACAACCACAAGAAGACAGAAAGGUGAAAAGAAAAAGGCAGACAAGAUAGAGACCUCAGGACCAAGGAAUGGCAUUGUGCCAAGAGGAAAUAGUCUCCAAUCAAUAACUUAAACUCCCACCUCAAGAAACAAGAAAAAGAAGAGCAAAAUAAAUCCAAAGCAAGCAUAAGGAUGGAAAUAAUAAAGAUGGACUCUCGCUCCUUCACCCAGGCUGGAGUGCAGUGGCGUGAUCUUGGCUCACUGCGGGCUCUGCCCCCCAGGGUUCACGCCAUUCUCCUGCAUCAGCACCCCGCGUAGCUUGGACUACAGCCUGGGACCAGGACACCACACGCUCAAUGGAUGUUGUAAGGAAUUACAGGUGAUGUUUGUGUCUUGUGAGUAUGGAUGUGGAGAUCAUACCCUUCAGUUAAGAAUAAUUCUAAUUCUACUAUCCACUAGUCUUUUUCAUAAAAUGGAGUUGCAAAGCCUCCCAAAGCUGUCUCCUGUUAGUGGUCAUUAUCCUUAUUGCAUUCUGUUUUUUCCACUAUUUAAAUGAAGACAUACUGCCCGGCAUCUCCCCCAGGCACAAGUUCUACUAGUAAUGACAAUUUUUUCAUUAAUACCAAUUGUAUACAUAAUCUUAUUGAGUUUCCACAAUAACCUAGAGAGAAAGAAACUGUGAUUACCUUUAGGUUUUAUAUGAGGAAACUGAGACUAUCGUGCCUUUGGAUUGAUCAGAGGCUGAAUUUAAAGAUAAGUGAACAUUGUUGGACAAACAAAAGACCUCCCAGCUCUCAAAACAAUAUCUACUGGAGGUAGGUGGAAGAGAAGGUGGGUAGAAUUAGGGUUUUCAAUGUGGACAAUAAUCAAGUACAAAGGAGACAGUUAUCUAUCCAGAUGGUUUAGACUAAUGAUUCCCAACAUGCUUCAUGUUGUGACAUGCUAAUUUUGUCUAAUUUUAUUAAUUCCCUGAAGCAAUAUGUGGGUUCUUAAAAGUAAUUAAAGUAGAAUUAAAUGUUAUGUUAAUUAAACAUGGCUUUAAAUGAAUUUGAGAUGAUGUGAAUUGGUUUUGCCCCUUGGGAUAACUGCAAAGUGCCUAUCCUGAUUUUGUGACAACUCAGAGUAUUAGGAACUGAAAUCUUCAGAAACUUGAAAGAGGUGACUGAGCCAGAAUAUCUAUCAGGUCCCUGAGUUUGCAUCUUAGAAGUUUUGUCCUAGUUGUCAUUUGGUACCUGUGGGAGGUAAUUCCAGUGUUAUGGUAAAGUUCAUUCUAGAGAUGAAUAAUCCUCCUCAGAUUUACCUUUCUUUUUAUCUUUUUCUUUUGGGCUGCUCCUUCUCCUUCAUGCUAUCACUAUAGUAAGGCAACUGGACCGCCAUGCUUUUUGGAUUCACUCCCCAUUUACCUCUCUGUCCUGCUUAGAUUUCUCCCACUUUCGGUUCCCAUGGCCAGGGUCCUGUCUAACCUAUUUUCCAAGCAUCAAAAGUGUCUUUACAAAUCUGUUCUGCAACUCCCACUACUGAUGACUUCUGUGAUAUUCCUCCUUUGGUCAAGUUGGUCUUCUUUCCUCCUCCUCUGUGACUUGGAAGCCUUUAGUUCCCACUAUACCAUAUCCAUAAGGAUUCAUUAUUCUUAACAUUGUCAGUUGGCCCUCUGCUCCAGAUCAUGCACAUGUCCUUCUACCCCUCACCUCCCACCUGACUGCUCUCAGCCUGUGCUAUAGACUCAGGGUGUUUGCCUGAUUCCCCUUGACCCCCAUCCUUGGGGUAGACACUUACUGGGCUGAGAUAGGCUGGUUUCAGUGCCCGUGCCAAGGUAGUCUGCAUGUUCCACUGCAUAAUCUGAGGACAAAUGUCUGGUAAAAUCUUUCAGAAUUCCAGUCAUUUCUCCUGUCCGCCUGUUCAAACUGAAGUUUCAUUUAAAGCCUUUGUGUUUACGAGAGGUUUGAUCAUAGAAGGCAAAUCUUCCCAGUAAUGUCAUUUAGCCUAUGUUUUUAUUUCUGCAUUUAAUAAAAUGCAGUCAAAUUCCAAAUUGUGUAUUUCACUCUUGCUUGAGCAUAUUGAUAGAAGCUGUUGUCAGCUAUGUGUUCUUCCUAUCAAUCAGUCUUUUCAAAGUUCUUUGUUAACAAUUAGUCAUCAGGGUUCAUCCAUACAUUGUUGUAUUACACAAUCAAUCAUUAAACUCAAGGGGAAAAAUGCUUAUUGAUGUGCAUAUUUUUCCCGAUAUAUUUUAAGUGAAAAGAGCAGGGUAAAAAACCGUAUUACAUUAUUAUUCUAUUACAAACACAUUUACACACACACACACACACACACACCCCCCAUGAAUAUAUUUUAAAUGGAAGAUUAAAAGGACACCAAAGUGCUAACAGUGAUUGUCUCUAGGUGCCAAGAUUGAUCAAUUUAUAUGUUCCCCUUCCUUCUCCAUAUUUUCCAAUUUCUCAAUAAUGAGUGUGUAAUUCUUUUAUAGUCAGGAAAAAGUAAUUUUAGAUAAUUCAAUUAGUUAUCAAGGUCAACCAGCAUGUGUGGAAAAGGUGACAAUUCUUACUGAAGAGAAAUUAACACCUUUAUUGUUAUGAAUUGAGGUUACUUUUUAAAGUAGGAACCUAUCUCUAAAAUUAAAAUGGAAGUGGAAACUUACUGAGUUUGAAAGAAUCAUUUUACAUAUCACUUUUCAAGUAAAACCAAUUUCUAUUUUGCUUUUUCUUCAAGUGCUUAAACAUUUUCUCUUCUGGGGCCCUUAUUUUAUGCUCCCCAAGAGAAAGGGCCAUGUCUCCUAUUUCCUUUGGCAUCUCCCACCCCCUCCCCACUCUCUUUCCUGUACUGCUAUACACCCAAGAAUAAGUCAGUGCACACGAUGUGCACGCAGAAAAUGUUUGUUAAUGGACUUGGUUAUUUCCGUUUUCUACUAAAUCUCAUCCUAGUCAUGUUUUCAGAAUCAUAGAACAUGGCUCCUUACUCCUCAGAAGCCUGGUAUCUCUCCCUACUGCUCUUGCUUAGUGCCCUGGGUCCCAGAACUCCACCCUUAGAUCUUCACUCUUGCAGUGUGAGGUAGACCCCAGCCAGUUCCGAGCUCCAGGGCCCUUGCAAGGAUGCCAGGUUUACGCCAGCCAUUUUCCCUGACUCAUGGGGGCUUGGCCAGCAGGUCAGUCACUACCCAGGAGGCCAGUCACUACCCAGUCUCGAACAUUCCUCCCUGAAUCAGAUGCUGCUGACUGGAUACCUCCAAGAAUCCCAGUGGGUUGACAGAAGUGUCAGCUUUAGGCCAAAGGAGUCUCUGGGAUGUCCUUGCCUUGGACAGAAGCUGGGGACCACACAGCCAGCUGACUCUGCUGCCCUGCCUUUGGGGUUAUAGCAUCUUGCCACUGGGCCCCCCAAACUAUCCUUUCCCUCAAUACCUGCUCAUUUGCUCAGGUCCCCGGAUCCAGCCUAGGGACUGUCUCGGCAGGGUCCUUCUAUCAGAGAGCCCAGGACCAGAUGCUGCUCUGAGCACCACCACCCAGAGCAGCACCAGGGAGGGAUGCCCAGCCCAGAAUAGCUGGAGCAGCCCCCCUGCCCCCACCCCCUGCCGACCAGGGAAGCUGACUGAGCUCACCCUGAGUGUGCUGGGGGGCAGAGGAGACCAUGCAGAUGUGCUGAGAGCUCCCUGGAAAGCAAGGCUCAGCUUCUUCUGCUACUGUCACCAGCAGAUGGAGAGAGGGGUCAGUAUUUAUCCUCUUGUAACACCUGAGGGGACAGAGUUGCUGACAUGUCUCAUAGAGUCCUUGUCCCCCACCUCCCUCACCCAUUGCCCACACUCCCUCAUCCUCUCACUUCAAGAGGCCUUGUUACCCCCCUAAAGGCCUGGAUUAGGCUCCACUGGUUAAAAAUCUUGUUCUAACUCCAAGUCCCCUAGAAUGUCCAUACCUUUAAGGGCUGGCACUGGUGCAGCAGGACUGAGGUAGAGACCCCAGAGAUUCACUUACAUAGCUGUUUCCAGUAGCCAAAUGACCAGGGACCACUAUUUAUGAGACAAUAGGAUAUCCCUUUCCUGAGAACAUGUUGGCCAAGCAGCAGAAGUGGGUGUGUUGUCCCUGAGGCUGAAUUUGGUGGUCUUGAGACCUAGCAUAGUGAGGCCAAACACUGACUUGGAUGGGUGCUGAGCCUGUGAAGGAAAAAACUCUACCAGAGAAACCUGACUGGGUUCGCUUUGUUUGUACAGAUCUAGUGGAGUUCCCCUUAAGCCUGAGAGGCCACUGGAGCCUGAGAGGCCACUGGAGACCAAGUCUGGUUAUACGCUGUAGAAGCUGGGUAAAUACCAUUUGGAGCACAGGUCUGCAGCAGAUCCAGAGUAAAUAAAACCUGAUACCUGCAUUGGACAUCUAAAAAAUGUUGAAUCUGGCAAGCUAUAAAUGAUAACAUGAAACAGUUAUUGAGUGUGUGCGAUGUCUGGAUACUAUUCUAACCAAUGUGAAUGCAUCAUCGCAUUUAAACCUCGCAGCAAAUUUAAGAAGAAAAAAAUCUUCCAUGUCCUUGAGCCAGUUACCAGAGAAGAGCAGAAAUCCAGGGAGGACAAGGGAUUGACCUGGGUAGUAUUGAGCUGGAAGGUAAAAGCAAUGAACAAAAAGAGGUUCAGAUUCCUUAUUUUGGAGCGACAGUGUCAACAAGAAACAUCUGCCAAACCACAAGGACCAUGUAGAAGCUGGUGUCCCAGGAGAUUAUUGCAGAAACCCUCAUGCUCCUAAACGACCAUAAGAAACUGAGCUCAAAUUUGAAGGCAUCACUUGUAUCCUGUGAAAGAGAAACCAAAGAAUGACCAAACCCCUCAGAAAUUAUGUAGCUCCUGGCUGAUCGUCACCUGCUGAUUCCUCUAACCAUGCUUGGGGCAAAGGUAAUGCAGCUGUAAAACUGACUGUGAAUUCUACAAGGACUUAUUGAGCAGACAUGUCUGAGCAAAGGACCAGAUUGCACAAUGGUUGGCAUCAGGUGCCACUGGGGCUAAGUGCAUGGUCACUGUUCCUCUCUUCUAUAGUGAUAGAUUAUCUCUGAUGCUGGCUUGCUGCCUCGAACAAAUGCCCUGAGUGAAGUGCCAGAUAAGAGAAGGGAUGAGUCCACCUCCAUUUAUAAAAUCUAAACUAACUCCGAGCCCCUAUGGCUCACUGGACAGCCAUCGGUAAGUGGUGUCUAGAAGGGAUUGCUGUAUUUGGCUAUAGGUAGACGAGGGGACAUUUGAGUCUCUGACCAUUGGUUAAAAGGGCAAUCUUGGAAACAACAGACACUGGGGACUCCAAAUGUGGAAAGGAAAGGAUUGGAGCAAAGGUUGAAAAACUACCUAUUGCAUACGAGGUUCACUAACUACAUGAUGGAUUCAACUGAAGCCCAAACCUCAGUGUUACGCAAUAUACCCAUAUAACAAAUCUGCAUAUGUACCCCCAAAUCUAAAAUAAUAAAAAAAGAAAAGAAAGCCAUUGCUGUUUCCAUUCACCAUAAGACACAGGUUCUUUACUUGGCAGUAAAAUAACCAAUUCUGGAGCUAUAAGAAUCUCUUUGAAUCCUGGAUCGGGAGAUCACUGGCUCUGUAACCUAGGACUUAACCUAUCUAAACUUGAAUUUACAAAUCUGUAAGGGAGGGGCACUAGUAGAACGUAUGUCACUGGACAAUUGUGAAGAUUGAAUAAAGUAUUGUAAGUAAAGCACUUGGCACAUGUUAGAUGCUCACUGAUUCCUACUUUCUCCAUUCCUUCAUGACCACUCCCAUUUACUACUUUUUUUCUCCCUAUUUUACCAAAUGGAAGCAGAGGUAUUAUGUGUCCACAUUAUUAUUAUUUUAGAUGGACAGAAGUGAACCUUUGACAGACUAGCUGAAGUAUACUGAAGUAUAAUUUCCAUACUCCACUCCCUAUUACACACACGCGCGCGCGCGCACACACACACACACACACACACACACACAGAGAGAGAGAGAGAGAGAGACUUUGCUCAGAAUGGAUGAAAGAAGGGUCUUUCACUUGUGAUGGUAAUUCACUCAUUUUUGCUCUACCCAAACUGUGAGUGUUAACUUCCGCUGCCGCUGCAGCUGCUCCUGCUGCUACUCAACACAGCACCCCACCCAGGGGAACAUUCAGCAACUUACACGAUUAAAUGGAAAGACUCAGGGAGAAAAUUUGGGGCUGAAUGAAGGUUAUGGAAAGAGAACUGUUUUCAGAGACAAAGACAUGAGUUCUAGUCCUGGCACUAAUUAAUUUGUAUUGUCAUUCAGCUAUAGAAAAGCCACUUAACCUCUU